GUGAGGAAUAUUGCGCAAUGGAGGCAACUCUGACGCAGCCAUGCCGCGUGCAGGAAGAAGGCGCUACGCGUUGUAAACUGCUUUUAACCGGGAAGAAACCCCAGGACGUGUCCUGGGUUGACGGUACCGGAGGAAUAAGCACCGGCUAACUUCGUGCCAGCAGCCGCGGUAAUACGAAGGGUGCAAGCGUUAUCCGGAUUCAUUGGGUUUAAAGGGUGCGUAGGCGGAGCGUUAAGUCAGUGGUGAAAUCCUGCAGCUUAACUGUAGACUUGCCAUUGAUACUGGCGCUCUUGAGUGCGCUUGAAGUGGGCGGAAUGUGCCGUGUAGCGGUGAAAUGCUUAGAUAUGAUACAGAACACCGAUAGCGAAGGCAGCUUGCUGAACCAUUAUUGACGCUGAGGCACGAAAGCGUGGGGAGCGAACAGGAUUAGAAACCCCGGUAGUCC
Molecule: ribosomal RNA, 445 nt
Filed under: uncultured bacterium
Lineage: Bacteria
Description: partial 16S ribosomal RNA
Rfam family: Bacterial small subunit ribosomal RNA
Source: RNAcentral